This 74-nucleotide transfer RNA is filed under the name Bacillota bacterium. RNAcentral describes it as "Firmicutes bacterium (anaerobic digester metagenome) tRNA-Cys". It matches the Rfam family "tRNA". From Rfam's summary of the family: Transfer RNA (tRNA) molecules are approximately 80 nucleotides in length. Their secondary structure includes four short double-helical elements and three loops (D, anti-codon, and T loops). Lineage: Bacteria; Bacillati; Bacillota. The record is from RNAcentral. RNAcentral also lists the same sequence under 5 other names.
GGCGACAUAGCCAAGUGGCAAGGCAGCGGUCUGCAAAACCGCUAUCCCCGGUUCGAAUCCGGGUGUCGCCUCCA